Long non-coding RNA from Theobroma umbraticum, 852 nucleotides. RefSeq lists it as uncharacterized. The record is from RefSeq and is a predicted model, not a curated record. Lineage: Eukaryota; Viridiplantae; Streptophyta; Magnoliopsida; Malvales; Malvaceae.
GAGAAGUUAAGUGAAAAUAGAUAAUGGGCCAAUGAACAAGGGAGGAAAUUGGUGCAUGAAAUUUGAGUGGGGGAUGAAUUGGUCCAUUGAAAAGUGAGGAAUAAAUAUGAAAAUGAAAGGUGAGGAAAUGUAGGGAGAAAAACCGCACCUUUGAGAAAAAAGGAAAAGAAUUGAUUUUAAAAGUAAAAAGAGAAAGGAAGAAAGGAGAAAGAAGAGAAGCUAAAGGAAGGUUUGGUUUUUAGAGGAAUUGGAGAAAAACCAAGAGGUUUUCCUCCCACACACCAUUGUUGGAGCUUAAAGAAGACAUUGGUGGUUCAGCUCAGUGAUUCCAAGCAAGGAUCUUCAAGAUUCAAAGAACCGGGUGCAUGCAUGUGGGUUGAUCUUAAAAGUAUGGUGAUUUAAAGCAAGACAAAUAAUGGGAAGUGUGCAAGUGAAGAAGGUUUAUCGUGGUGGUGUACCGGAGGAGAUAACAGGUGACAGGCAAGUAGAAUUAGCUCGAGAUGCACCUGAAUCGAUAGCGACAUAGCUUCCCGCUAUUGUGAGAAAAGUGAUCAGCUCAAGUGUCUUGCCCAGCAUACUUUGACUUGCUACGAUGUAGGUAAUGGCAUCUCUUAGAUUUCUACUCUGAGUCGCUCCACCGCAUUGGGGUUGUGUUGUGUAAAAUAGUUUGACUUUUAAAAAUUAUUAAUUUUAUCAGAUUGUAUCGCUAAAAACCUUAAGGUUGUGUAAUGAAUACUAAGGGUGAUGUUGAAAUUAUUUUGAAGUUUACUAGAGUUGGAUGUCGUUAUCUAGCUGCCACAUCUUAAUUAUGGUUUUAUUCGGUUCAAGUGGAACAUUAUAAUAAAAUUCAAG